UGGGGAAUAUUGCACAAUGGACGGAAGUUUGAUGCAGCGACGCCGCGUGGAGGGUGUAGGCCUUCGGGUUGUGAACUCCUUUUUCUCGCGAAAAAGGCACAGUUUUGGCUGUGUUGAUGGUAGUGGGGGAAGAAGCGCCGGCUAACUACGUGCCAGCAGCCGCGGUAAUACGUAGGGCGCGAGCGUUGUCCGGAUUUAUUGGGCGUAAAGAGCUCGUAGGUGGUUCGUCGCGUCUGUCGUGAAAGCCAGCAGCUUAACUGUUGGUCUGCGGUGGGUACGGGCGGGCUUGAGUGCGGUAGGGGUGACUGGAAUUCCGGGUGUAGCGGUGGAAUGCGCAGAUAUCAGGAGGAACACCGAUGGCGAAGGCAGGUCACUGGGCCGUUACUGACACUGAGGAGCGAAAGCGUGGGGAGCGAACAGG
RNAcentral lists this ribosomal RNA (421 nucleotides) under Fusobacteriota bacterium. Its description in RNAcentral is "Fusobacteria bacterium partial 16S ribosomal RNA". It matches the Rfam family "Bacterial small subunit ribosomal RNA", at positions 355 to 776 of the family's 1533-position model. The record is from RNAcentral. Lineage: Bacteria; Fusobacteriati; Fusobacteriota.